RNAcentral lists this ribosomal RNA (449 nucleotides) under uncultured bacterium. RNAcentral's name for it is "partial 16S ribosomal RNA". It matches the Rfam family "Bacterial small subunit ribosomal RNA", at positions 29 to 523 of the family's 1533-position model. The record is from RNAcentral.
AACGAACGCUGGCGGCAUGCCUAACACAUGCAAGUCGAACGAGAUCUUCGGGUCUAGUGGCGCACGGGUGCGUAACGCGUGGGAAUCUGCCCUUUGGUUCGGAAUAACAGUUGGAAACGACUGCUAAUACCGGAUGAUGACGAAAGUCCAAAGAUUUAUCGCCAGAGGAUGAGCCCGCGUAGGAUUAGCUAGUUGGUGUGGUAAAGGCGCACCAAGGCGACGAUCCUUAGCUGGUCUGAGAGGAUGAUCAGCGACACUGGGACUGAGACCCGGCCCCGACUCCGACGGGAGGCAGCAGUGGGGAGUGUUGGCCCAUGGGCGAAAGCCUGUUCCAGCAAUGCCGCGUGAGUGGCGCAGGCCGUCGGGUUGUAAAGCUCUUUUACCCGGGAUGAUAAUGACGGUACCGAGAGAAUAAGCUCCGGCUAACUCCGUGCAAGCAGCCGCCGUAA